This 468-nucleotide ribosomal RNA is filed under the name uncultured bacterium. Its description in RNAcentral is "partial 16S ribosomal RNA". It matches the Rfam family "Bacterial small subunit ribosomal RNA", at positions 31 to 507 of the family's 1533-position model. The record is from RNAcentral.
GAGGAAAGCGGGGGGCGUGCUUAACACAUGCAAGUCGAACGGAAAGGCCCUGCUUUUGUGGGGUGCUCGAGUGGCGAACGGGUGAGUAACACGUGAGUAACCUGCCCUUGACUUUGGGAUAACUUCAGGAAACUGGGGCUAAUACCGGAUAGGAGCUCCUGCUGCAUGGUGGGGGUUGGAAAGUUUCGGCGGUUGGGGAUGGACUCGCGGCUUAUCAGCUUGUUGGUGGGGUAGUGGCUUACCAAGGCUUUGACGGGUAGCCGGCCUGAGAGGGUGACCGGCCACAUUGGGACUGAGAUACGGCCCAGACUGCUACGGGAGGCAGCAGUGGGGAAUAUUGCACAAUGGGCGGAAGCCUGAUGCAGCAACGCCGCGUGCGGGAUGACGGCCUUCGGGUUGUAAACCGCUUUCGCCUGUGACGAAGCGUGAGUGACGGUAAUGGGUAAAGAAGCACCGGCUAACUACGUG